UGCCAGCCGCCGCGGUAAUACGAAGGGGGCUAGCGUUGUUCGGAAUUACUGGGCGUAAAGAGUACGUAGGCGGUCUAUUAAGCCAGAUGUGAAAUCCCGGGGCUCGACCCCGGAACUGCAUUUGGAACUGGUAGACUAGAGAAUAUUAGAGGUUGGUAGAAUUCCUAGUGUAGGGGUGAAAUCCGUAGAUAUUAGGAGGAAUACCGAUGGCGAAGGCAGCCAACUGGGAUACUUCUGACGCUGAGGUACGAAAGCGUGGGUAGCAAACAGGAUUAGAUA
RNAcentral lists this ribosomal RNA (279 nucleotides) under uncultured bacterium. RNAcentral's name for it is "partial 16S ribosomal RNA". It matches the Rfam family "Bacterial small subunit ribosomal RNA", at positions 506 to 784 of the family's 1533-position model. The record is from RNAcentral.